Scleropages formosus (Asian bonytongue) is the source of this 2811-nucleotide long non-coding RNA. The record is from Ensembl. NCBI's taxonomy places the organism in Eukaryota, Metazoa, Chordata, Actinopteri, Osteoglossiformes, Osteoglossidae.
AUGGACACCAAGGUGUCCCUGCAGCUCCAUGUGUCUCUAAUUGUCCUCCUGUCUUUCCUGCAGGAGAGGCGUGAAAGAGAACGGACUCACAACUCGCUCUUUUCGGGCUCCUUUAACCCCCCCCCCCCCCCCCCACACUCUUUGGUUUUCACACGUUCAUCGAAAACACCUCCGGUGCCUCAGGAUGCGGCUCCAGUGCGGGAGGGAGGUCUGUUGAGGCCGGGGGGGGGGUCUAUGCUCACAAUGACUGGGGGGCAGUGGGGUUGGGGAUGGGGGGGCACCAAAACACUGGGUUCCUGCUCGUUUCCUGCCUUUCUCCCUGGACGUGGUGAAGGAAACCCACUUCCCUGUGGUCUCUCUCUCUCUCUCUCUCUCUCUUUCCCCCACCCCCUCCUCUCGCUGUUUUGCACACUCCCUAGCCGGCGUGCCCACACACACAGACACACAGACACACACACACACACACGCGCACUCCCAACUCAAGCGCUCGUGCCAUCAGGCUCUCUGGAGGAACUCGUGCUCCCGCUCACUAGGUUCACCCGAGCGUACCGGUCUGGGGGGGUCGGCACGUGGCCCCCCCCGUUGGACAUGGAGAGGCUGGAGUCAUUCAGGAGGAAGGCAGCCGCCACCAACUUGGACUCGGAGCGCGAGAGAUCAGCCCACUUCCGAUCGUCAUGGCAACAGCAUGCGAACGUGUUCGGCUCGUGGAGCAGGCCGGAGUGCGUGCGGGAGCUGCAUGAGGAGGCGCGGCUCAACCUCCACCGCCUGCUGCAAGAAUUCGAGGAGCAGCUGUACGGGGACAAGGUGACAGGACAGACAUUCCGACCAACUGGACAGCCAUCCUCUCCGAGCUCAGAGGACACAGGCCAAAGCAGCAGCCGGAGACCCGACUUCGUCUUCCUGGUAACUUUACCCUGGGAUUUACGCUUCGGAAGAGGGCCUCUUUUUUGCCGCUUUCUUACUGCGGUUUAUAAUGUGCAUUGGUCACAAUUGAACAGAAUUAGAUUUACAAGGAUUUGGGUUUUAUGAACUUCAUUGGUCCUGUACGUGAGGUGAAGAGAACGUCAUAUUCCACCAGUGAACGUGCGCCGGCGUUUGGACGAGUCUUACCGAAUAGUUCCUGUUUUCGAAAAACAGACAUUUGGCAGGUGGGCGGGGAAGGUCUCCAAGGCCUUCGCUCAAAUCUCCAGAGUGCCUUUUACUGGAUUAUCAGCCGAAGUGUGAAACUUACGCAUGAAGCAUAUCGUAGUUUCAGAGGGUGCCGAGAAUUUAAAGCAGCUGAAUACAUUUAAAGCCGCAGUUUAAAUGACAAAAAUUGUUUAUUGUUCCUUAAUGACACUGAAAGCGGUUCACUGUGAUCUUUUAAUACCUUGAAAUAAUUCUUCACGAGCAAACAAACUGCAACAUAAACUAUGAGAGACGCACAGAUUUUUUCUGCCUACUUCUGUCUUCACAUUACUGCAUUUGUAUCCGUCCUCAAAUGUGUGCUGUGCUCACCGCAACGUGUGACAGGCGCGUGACGGCGGCACCGUACCCGUAGGGUUCCCGGCGUCCGACACGGGUGGCGGCAGUCCAGCCCGACCACACCUGCUGUCGCGCUCCUCGAGGGGACCCCCUGUGGCCGAGAAGCCCCGUUGGUACCUGAGAUGCCGCGCUCCCGCCCGCCUGCUGCCCGCUGAUGUGACAGGUUAGGUUUUUCCCGGAGUUCUCUUCUCUCCGCUGCAUUCUCCUCGAUGCAUGUGAUCCUGUGUUUUCCACUCUUUUUUCGUUUUCUCCUUGUUCUCUUCUCUCUGUUCAUGUUUCCUUUUGCCACCGCUCCCCUCUGCACGGUGCAGUACAUGAGGUUUACUGAUGCACUUAAACCACUGGCCACUUCCCAGGACCCAGGAAGUGUUAUUUUGCUUGAAACAGGUAGAAGUUGCUAUGGCAACCCCAGAUUUUCCUUUGCCUCUGAGUCUCAGAUAUGGAGAUGUAAACAAGAAGGGAACAGCGAGAGAAAAUAGUCUUGUCCUCACUCUACAUGCUCCGCUUCCCAACUCUUUUGCUCGUCUUCUUACAUGAGGCACAUACAGUGAAACAUGUUACGUUCUUCUGCAAAGUCAGCCAUUUGGUUUUCGUGAGUCAAUUCACUGUGUCCAAUGAGCAAAACGUGUUUACAUGUUAAAGUUAUAAAGAACAAUGGAGCAGUCUGAGGAUUUGCAUUAAAUUCAACUAAAUUCUAAAUCUUAUUAUUGCUAAUAAUUGGCGCAGGCUCUACGCUGCCUGGAGGAGUUUGUCCCCGCGGUCGUCCGGAUGCUAUAAGGCAGAGGAUAUUUUACACGUGAUGCUGGUGCUCAGCAGGGCACUCUUAGGCGCUGUGGUCUGGAGGAGCACUGGUCUGCAAAGAGAGGGGACAGUUGCACACAGUGGAAAUGCGGUACGAUUUCUGGACUGGCGCACCAUCAAAGCCAUGGCGGGAACCAGACGGGCACCUGCGUGGACUGGCUGUGUGCAGCGUGAGCUUCUCUUCCUCUUCAGACCACAAAGUGGAAAUCGCAUCGUAUGCGUAGUGACCACAAAACAAAAUGCACUCAAAUCUCAUAGCUGUGGAGCAGGGAAUUACGUUUCUGCAAACAAAUAUGAAAACAACGUUAUGUCUGUUUUCACUGUCCGUGAGAACGUGGACUGUACGAAAUGUACUGCGUUGUUCUUGUUGGAUCUGUUGAAUCUCUGCUCUUCGCACACCAAGGGAAUGAAAUUGUGUGUCCUUGUGGCCACUAAAGAGUGAGGCGGUCAAAUGUUUUGAGCAAAUAAAAAAAUUGUGUUUCAUCA